RNAcentral lists this ribosomal RNA (1396 nucleotides) under Enterobacter sp. IH37. RNAcentral describes it as "bacterial SSU rRNA". It matches the Rfam family "Bacterial small subunit ribosomal RNA". Lineage: Bacteria; Pseudomonadati; Pseudomonadota; Gammaproteobacteria; Enterobacterales; Enterobacteriaceae. The record is from RNAcentral.
ACGGUCGAGGCGUAGCACAGAGAGCUUGCUCUCGGGUGACGAGCGGCGGACGGGUGAGUAAUGUCUGGGAAACUGCCUGAUGGAGGGGGAUAACUACUGGAAACGGUAGCUAAUACCGCAUAACGUCGCAAGACCAAAGUGGGGGACCUUCGGGCCUCAUGCCAUCAGAUGUGCCCAGAUGGGAUUAGCUAGUAGGUGGGGUAAUGGCUCACCUAGGCGACGAUCCCUAGCUGGUCUGAGAGGAUGACCAGCCACACUGGAACUGAGACACGGUCCAGACUCCUACGGGAGGCAGCAGUGGGGAAUAUUGCACAAUGGGCGCAAGCCUGAUGCAGCCAUGCCGCGUGUAUGAAGAAGGCCUUCGGGUUGUAAAGUACUUUCAGCGAGGAGGAAGGCAUUAAGGUUAAUAACCUUGGUGAUUGACGUUACUCGCAGAAGAAGCACCGGCUAACUCCGUGCCAGCAGCCGCGGUAAUACGGAGGGUGCAAGCGUUAAUCGGAAUUACUGGGCGUAAAGCGCACGCAGGCGGUCUGUCAAGUCGGAUGUGAAAUCCCCGGGCUCAACCUGGGAACUGCAUUCGAAACUGGCAGGCUAGAGUCUUGUAGAGGGGGGUAGAAUUCCAGGUGUAGCGGUGAAAUGCGUAGAGAUCUGGAGGAAUACCGGUGGCGAAGGCGGCCCCCUGGACAAAGACUGACGCUCAGGUGCGAAAGCGUGGGGAGCAAACAGGAUUAGAUACCCUGGUAGUCCACGCCGUAAACGAUGUCGACUUGGAGGUUGUGCCCUUGAGGCGUGGCUUCCGGAGCUAACGCGUUAAGUCGACCGCCUGGGGAGUACGGCCGCAAGGUUAAAACUCAAAUGAAUUGACGGGGGCCCGCACAAGCGGUGGAGCAUGUGGUUUAAUUCGAUGCAACGCGAAGAACCUUACCUACUCUUGACAUCCAGAGAACUUAGCAGAGAUGCUUUGGUGCCUUCGGGAACUCUGAGACAGGUGCUGCAUGGCUGUCGUCAGCUCGUGUUGUGAAAUGUUGGGUUAAGUCCCGCAACGAGCGCAACCCUUAUCCUUUGUUGCCAGCGGUCCGGCCGGGAACUCAAAGGAGACUGCCAGUGAUAAACUGGAGGAAGGUGGGGAUGACGUCAAGUCAUCAUGGCCCUUACGAGUAGGGCUACACACGUGCUACAAUGGCAUAUACAAAGAGAAGCGACCUCGCGAGAGCAAGCGGACCUCAUAAAGUAUGUCGUAGUCCGGAUUGGAGUCUGCAACUCGACUCCAUGAAGUCGGAAUCGCUAGUAAUCGUAGAUCAGAAUGCUACGGUGAAUACGUUCCCGGGCCUUGUACACACCGCCCGUCACACCAUGGGAGUGGGUUGCAAAAGAAGUAGGUAGCUUAAGCAUCGCC